Molecule: ribosomal RNA, 881 nt
Filed under: Dolosigranulum pigrum
Lineage: Bacteria; Bacillati; Bacillota; Bacilli; Lactobacillales; Carnobacteriaceae
Description: bacterial SSU rRNA
Rfam family: Bacterial small subunit ribosomal RNA
Source: RNAcentral
CGCGGUAAUACGUAGGUGACAAGCGUUGUCCGGAUUUAUUGGGCGUAAAGGGAGCGCAGGCGGUCUGUUUAGUCUAAUGUGAAAGCCCACGGCUUAACCGUGGAACGGCAUUGGAAACUGACAGACUUGAAUGUAGAAGAGGAAAAUGGAAUUCCAAGUGUAGCGGUGGAAUGCGUAGAUAUUUGGAGGAACACCAGUGGCGAAGGCGAUUUUCUGGUCUAACAUUGACGCUGAGGCUCGAAAGCGUGGGGAGCGAACAGGAUUAGAUACCCUGGUAGUCCACGCCGUAAACGAUGAGUGCUAAGUGUUGGGGGCUUUCCGGCCCUCGGUGCUGGAGCUAACGUAUUAAGCACUCCGCCUGGGGAUUACGACCGCAAGGUUGAAACUCAAAAGAAUUGACGGGGACCCGCACAAGCGGUGGAGCAUGUGGUUUAAUUCGAAGCAACGCGAAGAACCUUACCAGCUCUUGACAUCUUCUGACAACUCUAGAGAUAGAGCGUUCCCUUCGGGGACAGAAUGACAGGUGGUGCAUGGUUGUCGUCAGCUCGUGUCGUGAGAUGUUGGGUUAAGUCCCGUAACGAGCGCAACCCUUGUUGUUAGUUGCCAGCAUUAAGUUGGGCACUUUAACGAGACUGCCGGUGAUAAACCGGAGGAAGGCGGGGAUGACGUCAAAUCAUCAUGCCCCUUAUGAGCUGGGCUACACACGUGCUACAAUGGAUGGUACAACGAGCAGCGAUCCCGCAAGGGCUAGCUAAUCUUUCAAAGCCAUUCUCAGUUCGGAUUGCACUCUGCAACUCGAGUGCAUGAAGUCGGAAUCGCUAGUAAUCGCGAAUCAGAAUGUCGCGGUGAAUCCGUUCCCGGGUCUUGUACACACCGCCCGU